This 1156-nucleotide long non-coding RNA is filed under the name Mus musculus (house mouse). RNAcentral describes it as "predicted gene, 36756 (Gm36756)". Lineage: Eukaryota; Metazoa; Chordata; Mammalia; Rodentia; Muridae. The record is from RNAcentral.
AUGAGAAGCAGGGCUGGCUGCUGCUGGAGUGGAGCCCAGUGCUGUGUUCUCCAGUCCCCCAGACCAAACCACCCCAAAUACCACAGCUGCAUCCUGACAUGGGGAUGAGGGGCAAGCCUAGACACAGCCUUAGGCUUGACAAACUGUCCUUCCAGAGAGAACCCCCUCACUACCCAGUGUGGAUCUCAUCGAUUGCAAUCAAAGACCAAGGGGAACAGCCAAAUCACUCAAGGGGCGCCAUCACCCCAGCUUUGAUGGGCUUCAGGACAGCAUCGGUGCCUGCACUAUGAACAACACCCUCCCUGGAUUCUGACCCUGGCUGGCAGCGGGUUCAAGGAAGCCAGUUUCAAGGUCUCUGUCAUCCCAAUACUUAGGAAUGUGGGGCAGGAAGAAGGCCCUGAGUCUAGGGCCAACCUAGGCUACCCAAGUAAGAGCCUGCCUCAGAGGGUUAAGAACAGAACCAAAGGGCAAGCUGAAUGGAGAUCUGAUGAACAGACGCUGUUAGAUACAUGUUUAAUGGGAAGGGAGGAGACCUUAAGAGAGACCCGAAUAGAGAAUGUUCACAGUGAUCAGGAUCACAACACGCUUCCCUGAACCUUCAAGCACACUUCUAAAAAAGAGCUUACAGGACAGCAAUGGAGAACGACAGCUAGGAGUAUACAGGAGUCCAAUCUUACAAGCAGGAGGGAUCUGACUGUUGUCAACCAGGUGCUAGAGCUCUGGGCUUCCAGGAAAGGCCAAGACGUUCCCAGAGCAGGAACAGCAGCAUGUGACCGAGAGCCUCCAGCUAAGAUGGCAGCCCAUGUCACAUGGGACCUGUGAGAGCUUAAAAGCACACUGAAGUGGAGGUGACACCCAGGUCUAUCACUCCACAUACCAGGACAAGCUUAGACCUUGCUACGCCAAGACUAGCAGCAGCUCAUCAGAGUGACAGGCGUCUACUCUCUGCAGAAACUCUGCUUUCAGAGCACCCCAACAUCCAGAGAGACGCCCAGCGAGCUGCUGUCUACUGAAAACUUGGUCUCAAGCCACUAGACCCCUGCAGCGUACACACUAUCACAGUAUCUAAUUACUUCCUCAAAAUGCCUGCACCCUGAACUAUUACCAAUAAACUCGGAAUCUGGGGCGGGGUGUGGCCUGUGCACUCCCCCUACAA